CAGCAAAUCAGUAGAAGCUCUUACAAAGCUUCGAAGACUUCUUACAGUCUUUGCUGA
RNAcentral lists this transfer RNA (57 nucleotides) under Pectinatella magnifica. RNAcentral's name for it is "tRNA-Val". The record is from RNAcentral. Lineage: Eukaryota; Metazoa; Bryozoa; Phylactolaemata; Pectinatellidae.